RNAcentral lists this small RNA (27 nucleotides) under Bombyx mori (domestic silkworm). RNAcentral's name for it is "ovarian small RNA-21826". The record is from RNAcentral. Lineage: Eukaryota; Metazoa; Arthropoda; Insecta; Lepidoptera; Bombycidae.
UAGAAUAACGAUUACAUAUGUGAUGCA